RNAcentral lists this ribosomal RNA (245 nucleotides) under uncultured bacterium. RNAcentral describes it as "partial 16S ribosomal RNA". It matches the Rfam family "Bacterial small subunit ribosomal RNA", at positions 524 to 768 of the family's 1533-position model. The record is from RNAcentral.
UACGUAGGGGGCAAGCGUUGUCCGGAGUUACUGGGCGUAAAGCGCACGCAGGCGGUCCGGUACGUUUCCGGUGACAGUGGAGGGCUUAACUCUCCAAGACUCGGGAAAACGGUCGGACUUGAGGACCAGAGAGGGACCUGGAAUUCCGGGUGGAGUGGUGAAAUGCGUAGAGAUCCGGAGGAACACCAAAGGCGAAGGCAGGGUCCUGGCUGGUACCUGACGCUCAGGUGCGAAAGCGAGGGGAG